RNAcentral lists this long non-coding RNA (1684 nucleotides) under Ornithorhynchus anatinus (platypus). RNAcentral describes it as "lncRNA (ENSOANG00000037600.1)". The record is from RNAcentral. Lineage: Eukaryota; Metazoa; Chordata; Mammalia; Monotremata; Ornithorhynchidae.
UUCGAUCUAAUGCGAGGUCAAAGGUCUUGUAUCCGUAAAGCCCGGCCAGCGGCCUCACCACCCUAGUAAACUGUUCACUGUCCCUUGGAAGCCCGGUGGGGGCCCGGCAGUUCAUAAGGAAUGAGGGAGAGGGAUUCUUGGGGGCAUCCUAAGGGUGAGCUGUGGUAGCCGGCGGAGAAGCCGGUGGACAGUGGUGAAACUCCCGCUCGAUCGCUUCGGAGGAGGCACCGUGUCGUAUUGAGCAGAAACGUCGGCUUCCCAGGGUCCAGUUUCCACCGCCCUGCCUCGAGCACGCCUGCUCAAUGGACCUCCCGGUCCUGCCUUCGAGGGGAGAUGCAGCUGGCCGUGGGGGCCGCUUGUGAGGGGAGUCGUUUGGCGGGUAACAGAAUGUGAGGUUCUCCGAUCCCGGGCUCGCUUCCCUUCUCGCUCUGACAGAUGGGGCUGAGGAGGAGAAAGGCUUCCAGACUCUUCCCGGGCCAGGGGAGUUGGCGGACGCCCAAUCCCCUCAGGGGCUCGGCCGGUCUCUGAGCCGCUAUUUUCAAGGCGGAUCUCGCGGGCAGAGGGGAAACGGUGGGCAGAGGAGCCCUAGGGCAAGAGACGGAUGUGGCCUAGCUCGCAGAGGGUCGGGGCGGCCGCCCUCCCUUCGAAGUGUCGAAGCCGGUGUCCCCCGAGAGGCUACUUCAUCUCCGUGGGCAGACGAGCAGAACACCGGGAUGGGGUUCGCAGCUGUUCUGCUGGCCUGGUUUGGGAGAAGUUCUCCGUAAUUCCCAGGAUUCCCUAUGCGAUAAGCUGAUUACCCAAAGGAGUUCCAGAAACAAGGCAACAUCCCCACACGCCACUGGAGGAGCACAGAACGAGCCUCCUUCGGGAAACACAGGUCUCCUUGGCAUCGAAUGGGGGACAGGCUCUUCCCUCCCUCCUCUUCAAAGACUCAGUCGCAGCUCCGACCCUGUCCCCUCCCCUCUCGAUCCACGCUUGAGGCACCCAGAUGUGAGCCCGUGACUUCCCGAUGACCCUGAGGCUCCUUGGGUCCAUUUGGCCUUCUCUGGGACUGGUGCUGCCGUUGUCUGGGUCUUGUAGCGGAAGCUCCUUGAAAGCAGGGAUCGUGUCUGCUGACUCUGGCGGACUCUCCCAAACGCUCAGUACGGCGCCCGGCACAGUAGACUGGAAGCUCCUUGAAAGCAGGGAUCGUGUCGGCUGACUCUUUCGAACUCUCCCUAACGCUCGGUACAGCGCUCUCUGCACAGUAGACUGGAAGCUCCUUGAGGGCAAGGAUGGCGUCUACUGACUCGAUUGAUCUCUGCCAAGUGGUCUACACGCAAUAAGUGCUCGACAGAUACCACCGAUUGAUUGAUACUUGAUAACGGGCAGGGAACAGGGACAGCCUGAACCCUUCAGACUUUGAGGGCCAGAUGUUUUGGGAGUCGUGACCUGAUCUGGUGCCUGGUGGCUGGGAUUUCCAGCUGGACGAGAGAAGAGAGAGGCUAGGUUCCUUCCACAGCUUUUUUCUGGGGUUAUGUGAUCUGCCCAGAGGCUAUGUGGUCAGUGGGAAUAUUUUAAAAAUAAUAAUAAUUAAUGACAAUUCUAGCCCUAAAAAGCCAGCGCCAGACAGUUGUUGUGAUUUUUGAGCCUGAAUCCUUCCAAAUUCUAUAUUACAAAUCCUCAGAGGGAAUUUAGGAAAUCA